GGACGAACGCUGGCGGCGUGCUUAACACAUGCAAGUCGAACGGAAAGGCCCUGCUUUUGUGGGGUGCUCGAGUGGCGAACGGGUGAGUAACACGUGAGUAACCUGCCCUUGACUUUGGGAUAACUUCAGGAAACUGGGGCUAAUACCGGAUAGGAGCUCCUGCUGCAUGGUGGGGGUUGGAAAGUUUCGGCGGGUGGGGAUGGACUCGCGGCUUAUCGGCUUGUUGGUGGGGUAGUGGCUUACCAAGGCUUUGACGGGUAGCCGGCCGGAGAGGGUGACCAGCCACAAUGGGACUGAGAUACGGCGCAGACUCCAACGGGAGGCAGCAGUGGGGAAUAUUGCCCAAUGGGCGGAAGCGUGAUGCAGCAACGCCGCGUGCGGGAUGACGGCCUUCGGGUUGUAAACCGCUUUCGCCUGUGACGAAGCGUGAGUGACGGUAAUGGGUAAAGAAGCACCGGCUAACUACGUG
Molecule: ribosomal RNA, 469 nt
Filed under: uncultured bacterium
Lineage: Bacteria
Description: partial 16S ribosomal RNA
Rfam family: Bacterial small subunit ribosomal RNA
Source: RNAcentral